RNAcentral lists this transfer RNA (72 nucleotides) under Dallia pectoralis (Alaska blackfish). Its description in RNAcentral is "tRNA-Cys". It matches the Rfam family "tRNA". From Rfam's summary of the family: Transfer RNA (tRNA) molecules are approximately 80 nucleotides in length. The record is from RNAcentral. Lineage: Eukaryota; Metazoa; Chordata; Actinopteri; Esociformes; Umbridae.
GGGGGUAUAGCUCAGUGGUAGAGCAUUUGACUGCAGAUCAACAGGUCUCGGGUUCAAAUCCUGGUGCCCCCU